UGGCGGCUUGUCGCUCGUUAAUUUCUCAUGGUUGCGAGAGGAAAGUCCGGGCAACGCAGAGCAUCACAUUUCUUAACGGGAAGCUGCGGGUGACCGCAGGGUUAAGGUGACAGAAAACAACCGCCGCGUUAGCGGUAAGGGUGAAAAGGCGGGGUAAGAGCCCACCGGGCACUGUGGUGACACAGUGUGCCGCACCACCUGUGAGUUGCAAGUUCAUGUAUACCGGCAUCUAAGGGCUGCUCGUCCAUUGCCGGGGGGUAGAACGCUAUAUCGGCGCAGCAAUGCGUCGGACAGAUAAAUGACAAGCACCUGCCAUCCUGUGGCAGGCACAAAACCCGGCUUACAGCCAUACUG
Molecule: RNase P RNA, 354 nt
Filed under: bovine gut metagenome
Description: Bacterial RNase P class A
Rfam family: Bacterial RNase P class A
About the family: Ribonuclease P (RNase P) is a ubiquitous endoribonuclease, found in archaea, bacteria and eukarya as well as chloroplasts and mitochondria. Its best characterised activity is the generation of mature 5'-ends of tRNAs by cleaving the 5'-leader elements of precursor-tRNAs.
Source: RNAcentral